AAGCAUUCCCUUUUCACCCACACCCACACAAACAUCUAUUGUUUUUUGACUUUUUAAUGUUAUUCUUGCAGAGUAAGGUGAUACCUUAUUGCAGUUUUAAUUUGAAUUUCCCUGAUGAUUAGUGAUGUUAACCAUUUUUUUAACAUGCUUGUUGUGGGUUUGACAUUUAAAAAGACUCAUAUUCCUCAGAUAAGUUUUUUUCUUUUUCAUCCCCACCCCCACUCUCCCCGUCCCAGUUGAGCCUCCAUCAUCUCUCACCUGGACUGGUGCAGUCUUCUCCAAGCAGCUUGCUGGAAUGCAGGCGUGCUGGCUGGGACUGAACCACCCUCUGGGACUGUGAGGCAGCAAUGUUGGAUGGCGGGGAAGCAGGCUGGAAGAAAAUUUAAGACCCUAGGCUUCAGAAGCAGACGAGGGAACGAGCAGAAGAACAGAAGAACAGCAGAAUGGCAUGGCAGAGAGAAGAAAGGGACCAUCUGAACGCCAAGAGAAAUUCAGCUGGGGGAGGUCAGAGAGGAGAUAGACUGCAGGACAGCCAAGCUCCAGGGGAAGAUCAUCUUCCCACUCCAUCCCCUUUCCAGCUCCCCAUCCAUCCCGCUGAGAGCCACCUCCACCACUCAAUAAAACCCUGCAUUCACCAUCCUCAAGUCUGUGUGUGACCUGAUUCUUCCUGGAUGCCGGACAAGGACCUAGGUACCAUGAGGGCACUGAGCUGGUUAACACUUAAGCUAUCUGCAGGCAGCACAGCUAAAAGAAUGCAUGGUAACACAUGCCUACUUGGGCUUUGGGAGUUGCAGGCACCCACCCCUAGAAGCUACCAUGGGGCUGGAGCCCCAAGGUGCUUGCCCUGGC
This 849-nucleotide long non-coding RNA is filed under the name Homo sapiens (human). RNAcentral's name for it is "HSALNT0265703". Lineage: Eukaryota; Metazoa; Chordata; Mammalia; Primates; Hominidae. The record is from RNAcentral.